GGGCCGUGCCUGGCACGGCCCGUCUGGAGAGGGGGGGAGAAAAAUAGCCGUUUCCAACGGCUAUUUUGGAAAAUUUUCAAUUUUGCCCCUCCCAACAGUCCAAAAACGGCUAAAUUGAGGGGUAUUUUGGGAAAAAAAUUUUUUGGGCUUCUAUAAAUAGCCCUUUCCUCCCUCAUUCUCACCACACCAAACCAACUAUUCUCUCCUUCUCUACUGCUAUUAUUUCUCUCUUCUAAAGUGCUCUUCUAGCAAUUUAAUUUUUAGUUUGCAUUUAGCAAGUGUUCAAGUGCUACACAAGAGGAGGUUCCUGUUGAGAAGAGAAGCUCACUCCUGUUGAGAGCACAAGAGGAAGCUCAGAAUCUCGGCUCUGCCUCUGCCCUCCGACCCUCUACUCAAUUUCUCCUUGUGGUUAGUUUUUAUUUUUUGAAUUCAUCAAUUUAGAUAUGUCAUCUUUUGAGGAAAGUCAGUUUGGCAUUCCUCCUGUUU
Molecule: long non-coding RNA, 486 nt
Filed under: Phoenix dactylifera (date palm)
Lineage: Eukaryota; Viridiplantae; Streptophyta; Magnoliopsida; Arecales; Arecaceae
Description: long non-coding RNA (PDAC_LNC020726)
Source: RNAcentral